AGUCGAGCGGAAACGAUGAUAGCUUGCUAUCAGGCGUCGAGCGGCGGACGGGUGAGUAAUACUUAGGAAUCUACCUAGUAGUGGGGGAUAGCACGGGGAAACUCGUAUUAAUACCGCAUACGACCUACGGGAGAAAGGGGGCAGUUUACUGCUCUCGCUAUUAGAUGAGCCUAAGUCGGAUUAGCUAGAUGGUGGGGUAAAGGCCUACCAUGGCGACGAUCUGUAGCUGGUCUGAGAGGAUGAUCAGCCACACCGGGACUGAGACACGGCCCGGACUCCUACGGGAGGCAGCAGUGGGGAAUAUUGGACAAUGGGGGAAACCCUGAUCCAGCCAUGCCGCGUGUGUGAAGAAGGCCUUUUGGUUGUAAAGCACUUUAAGCAGUGAAGAAGACUCCGUGGUUAAUACCCACGGACGAUGACAUUAGCUGCAGAAUAAGCACCGGCUAACUCUGUGCCAGCAGCCGCGGUAAUACAGAGGGUGCAAGCGUUAAUCGGAAUUACUGGGCGUAAAGGGAGCGUAGGUGGCUCGAUAAGUCAGAUGUGAAAUCCCCGGGCUCAACCUGGGAACUGCAUCUGAUACUGUUGAGCUAGAGUAUGUGAGAGGAAGGUAGAAUUCCAGGUGUAGCGGUGAAAUGCGUAGAGAUCUGGAGGAAUACCGAUGGCGAAGGCAGCCUUCUGGCAUAAUACUGACACUGAGGCUCGAAAGCGUGGGUAGCAAACAGGAUUAGAUACCCUGGUAGUCCACGCCGUAAACGAUGUCUACUAGUCGUUGGGUCCCUUGAGGACUUAGUGACGCAGCUAACGCAAUAAGUAGACCGCCUGGGGAGUACGGCCGCAAGGUUAAAACUCAAAUGAAUUGACGGGGGCCCGCACAAGCGGUGGAGCAUGUGGUUUAAUUCGAUGCAACGCGAAGAACCUUACCUGGUCUUGACAUAUCUAGAAUCCUGCAGAGAUGCGGGAGUGCCUUCGGGAAUUAGAAUACAGGUGCUGCAUGGCUGUCGUCAGCUCGUGUCGUGAGAUGUUGGGUUAAGUCCCGCAACGAGCGCAACCCUUGUCCUUAGUUACCAGCGGGUUAAGCCGGGAACUCUAAGGAUACUGCCAGUGACAAACUGGAGGAAGGCGGGGACGACGUCAAGUCAUCAUGGCCCUUACGACCAGGGCUACACACGUGCUACAAUGGUAGGUACAGAGGGCAGCUACACAGCGAUGUGAUGCGAAUCUCAAAAAGCCUAUCGUAGUCCAGAUUGGAGUCUGCAACUCGACUCCAUGAAGUAGGAAUCGCUAGUAAUCGCGGAUCAGAAUGCCGCGGUGAAUACGUUCCCGGGCCUUGUACACACCGCCCGUCACACCAUGGGAGUUGAUUGCACCAGAAGUGGAUAGCUUAACCUUCGGGGAGGCGU
Molecule: ribosomal RNA, 1400 nt
Filed under: Psychrobacter fozii
Lineage: Bacteria; Pseudomonadati; Pseudomonadota; Gammaproteobacteria; Moraxellales; Moraxellaceae
Description: bacterial SSU rRNA
Rfam family: Bacterial small subunit ribosomal RNA
Source: RNAcentral